This 102-nucleotide ribosomal RNA is filed under the name Sticta lacera. RNAcentral's name for it is "partial 26S ribosomal RNA". It matches the Rfam family "Eukaryotic large subunit ribosomal RNA", at positions 1 to 101 of the family's 3401-position model. The record is from RNAcentral. Lineage: Eukaryota; Fungi; Ascomycota; Lecanoromycetes; Peltigerales; Lobariaceae.
UUGACCUCGGAUCAGGUAGGGAUACCCGCUGAACUUAAGCAUAUUAAUAAGCGGAGGAAAAGAAACCAACAGGGAUUGCCUCAGUAACGGCGAGUGAAGCGG